Long non-coding RNA from Cephus cinctus (wheat stem sawfly), 5814 nucleotides. RefSeq lists it as uncharacterized. The transcript has 8 exons. The record is from RefSeq and is a predicted model, not a curated record. Lineage: Eukaryota; Metazoa; Arthropoda; Insecta; Hymenoptera; Cephidae.
UGUAUACUUUCCGCUGUGGGCAAAGGAGUUGGAAAUGAGAGUGCAGGAAAACCGUCGUCUAAUCCGCAUCGUAGAUCUCGAUAAACUUUUCUGUCAGUUUUUCACCGGAGCGACGUAGACAACAAAGGAUAACCUAACAUUGCGUAACGAGUUCGUGACGGCAAUGCAGAAGGAAAGUAACGAAAAUUGAAUACAACGUUGCUGGAGCAUAUCGAAAUACAAAAAGCUCUUCCGCUUCCUCGGACUCGCCCGGCGUCUCCUUUACGGUAUAAAACUGGAGCAACGCGUCCCCGUCCUACCACCAUCGGCGUCCGUCUCUUCGAGGCUUUACUUACUUCUUGGAUCGAGAAGCCAAUCUCUGAAUGGAGUAACCGGAAUCAGAGGUCUACACACACAGAUACCGGCGGCUUGUUGCCAGACGGUUCCAAGGAUAAAUUUCGAACAGGAUUUACCACCCUUAUACGCUGACGCACCAUCUCCAGUCUAGGGCAAAAAGCGACUUUGAUGUUCUUUGAUAUAAGGACCACCGUCCGCCAUUGAUCUAACGGCUAUAAGCCAAUAGGAGUACACUCCCUUUGGCCCUGCCGAAACAUCGAGUCAAACCGCAUCCUAUGCUGCGUUCGUGCUAUUUAUAUCGCGGGUAUACCCUGGAGUUAGCUCGAACGCACUUUACACCGUAAAUUCAUGGGGAUAAUAUUAAUUUUUUUUUUUCCUCAAAUUAUUCCCACCCCCCCGCUCAAAACGCGAAAGCUCAUUUGGAAAAACAUCACUGCCGAAAGAUUAAUGAGGAUUACAUUAUCGUUAAUUAACAUUUAUCCAAGUCCAUUAAGUGCUCGGGAAUAUUUUAUACCUGAUAAUUAUUCAUCAAAGGGUAGAUGCAAUUAUAAUAGGGAUAUUUUGUUAAUAUGCUGUAUUAGUUUUAUAUAGUCGCUGCCACUUUGCUCAAUCAGGCUUGACGCAGACGGGAGGGAUAUCUCUAGCAGAAAUAGCAAUGACUAUAUCGUGAACCUGAAUUUCUAGGAAGGCAGGCGCGUGCCCCCUAUCAGGGAACCCGUGACAUUAACGCAUUUAUAAUCAGAGACUCGACAGCCGCGCAAUACGUAGUGGCAUACCGCGUCGCAUUCCCUAAUGAAUUCCCUCUGUUUUGCUCGCCUCCCGAGCACCUUUAUCGGCCGCCGUACGGAAAGCGCCGCUCGCAAAGGACGCAUUUAAAGUGAUACACCUACAAGGUGAAACAGCGAGAGUCAUGAAUAUAUAUAUUUAUACGCUGCCGCGAUAAAACCUUGAGAGAUAAGAGGAUCGGUAUUAGAGUCUGCGAGUAGAUGACGGGCGCGUAGGAAACUGAGAGGAAAAAGGUUGGUCGAAAUUUGAACCCUUUGAAAAAAAAAAAAAAAUGGUAAGUACGAGAGACAUGGACGUGCGUAAUCGUAAAAAGCAACGAAACCGGAGGAACGAAGAAAAUUUAAAUAGUCGGUUGACAAGGUGUGAAAAAAUGUUUUCUAAGGGUUAAUUAUAAUUAUUUUUUUUUUUAAUUUAUAUUUUACGUAUUGUUCGUAUCUCAAUGCUUUCUAUUAGGGGUUGGUUGCUUGUACCUUUUUUUUUUCGAGCUGAUUGUGUCGGAGAGAUCGACAAGGUUUUCCUCUCUCGGCGAGUAAUAAUUGUGGAAAAUGACUUUGGCCAGAACGCUCCCUGACCUGGAUCAUAUUUUCCGAGGGUCGUUGUCGAACCCACCCCUAGCGUUGGGGGUGGCUUUUUCAAGCGGAAGAUUCGUACGCGCUAUAGAAAUUUUAAAGGGGAUGCUGUGACAAUUCCUUUUAACGAAGUAACCACAAUGUCGACGAACCCGUGACCUGUGACCGAUUACCAAUUUUUUUUUUUAACGGUUGAAUUUAAGGGCGCGCCGCAGACGGUUAUGCAGAGGGGUUAGGUUUUCCACGUACGCGAUAUCUAUCCUGCGUAUCUAUGCAACCGGUCGACUUCGCUUAGCUUAAUGUCAACUUCCAUCCCCCAACGAUUUACGAGUAAUGUUUUCGAUUAAUCUAGACGGAGGGUUGAAUUUUUACUCGUUACAAAAAAAAGCAUCCGUCUUGAAUAGAAAAGCAGCCCAUGCAUACAAGUAAAAUUUUCAAAGACAAUUUCGAAAAUCAUCCCGAUUAGGGGAAAAAAAAUUAUUCAAAAAAAAAAAUCGAAAAAAUUUAUCAAAAUUUUUUUAAAACCAAACAAAAUGGAAUUCGUCGAAAAGAAAGCAUUAAAUAUAUUUAACUUCUAAAGAGACGCGAAAGGGGAUUCGAACGAGCUAACCCAGGAGAGGUUAGGUCAGUGACGGUAAUAAUUCACGGACCUCUGGUAUGCCGAUCUCGUCGGUCAGCGAAGGUCGUGAGCGCAACAAACCCCAAGAGCAACGCUCGCCGCUCCGCGUCUGCCAAUCUAGUGAAAUAUACGGCCGGCCAUAUAUAUCAGAAGGGAGCGCGUAUCAAUUGCCACCAGUGUCAGAGAGUCAUGACUAUAAAUGUUGGGUGGACGUGGGGUUCGAUUCCUUCGCGGGUAGGUAUUUGCAGUGGCUGUAUACCUAUAUGUCCCAUGAUACCUACCUAACCUACCUAGGUACCUGCCUACCUACAUGCGCCUUAUAAUACAAGACGUCCCACGUGGGUCCUGUUAUUCGAUCGAUAUUUAUAACCUAUAAAUUUGCUAGGAUACGCGCGGAAUAUGAUAAUGCCUGUCAGCCGACAGGAUUAUCGAAGGUAGGUACAACCAAACGACCCUUCCCUUUACAAUGCCGCAGCUACCUUGCUUACUGCUACGGAGUAUCGAGUAAGCACUGACUUUUAUAUUCUAUGUUUUUAUCUUCUACUGAUACUGCGUGUAGUCAAGUGCACGCGUCUACGCUACUUAGAUGCAGACGAGUCUGGGUCGAGCCGGAAAGGUGCUGGGGAGACUUUAAAAAGUGAAUAGGGGUUGUUUACCUGCUACGGGAAAUUCGCUACGAAACUACCCUGCAUAGUAAUACUUAUCUACCUACUUAUCCAUUACCUAUCUCGUAAGGAGAACAUCAACCCCUACUCGACUCACCACCACUGGUGUUCUUGGUACCGUGAAAUUAGAUCACCCCCUUUAGUCUCGCGAAGGGUGGGUAUCGAUUUGUAAGGAGGGAAAAAAUUUUCAAAAAAAUUUUCAGCAUAAUUUUGACUAUGGGGAAUCGAUUUUUUUGGGUCUUCCGCUAGUUUGAAAAUUUUUUAAAUAUUGGCGUCGUUCAGGCAGCUUUCGCUGUAGUUGACUGCUUUUGAAAAUGAUUGGGGAUGAAAUUUUUUUUUUUUUUUCAAAUAAAAGGGUGCACGUGCUUUCACCUCUUUUUAUAAGCUUAUUAAUUUUCAUGAGUUUGCCAGUAUCUUUGCAAACGUUAUUUCUGAGUAAUGGCCGCACUUUACGCGAAUUGCUUAUUAUUAACCAAGGUAAAGUUCACACUCGUAAGCACAAUCGUACGUUAACUUAGUCGUUCUUGUAUUUCGAGUUUAUAUAUAUGUAUAUUGUAUAUGAGUGACUUCAAAGUAUACUCCGUACGAGUUAACUUACCUGGACUUUUGAGCCUUUCCCACUCACGGUAAUAUGAGAACUCCUCAAGGCUUUACGAAACACGUAAUUUACCCACAGCCCACGUACCAUACAUGUAAAAUUCGCCAAUUGUACAAUCCUCAAGUAUUUCAAUUUCCUGACAGCAGAAGAGACAGAAUUUGCAAUUAAAAAAAAAAUGCAAUUCGGAAAUUCGCCUCCCUAAAAAUCUUAUACGUAUACCAGUUCAACGUGCAUUUAAAUGACCAAUAAUUCUUAUUUUUGAUAAUAAUUAUAUUUUUGACGUAAUUUCAAAAUUUUACAAACAAAUGUAUCCAGAAGUAUAACGUAAGUGCGAAGCUAAUUAAUAAAGCUAAACUGGCUUCUUGGGAAGAUGGCGGACUACAAGGGAUAAUUUACUCUCUGUACCAUCUCUGAAGGAUGUGCUCGCUAGGUCGGAGAGGAAAUGACGAAAGCUGCCAGAGGGGGAUGAAAAGGAGAUUCAAGCAAAAGGAAGGAUUGCCAAAGUCAUUUACUUUUCAGACUGAAAGUUCCUGUAGGCGCGUCGCGGGGAAUAGUUAACGAAACUAUCUUAAGUAACUAAUCGCUACUGAAACAAGUAUGUCAGGUACGGCAGGAGGAAGCAACGAGCAGUUUGAGUAUAGUGACUAACGCUUCCUGCUUCCAGGCUGCCACCAUGUCGUCAUCGCUACCCACUGACGUGAUCACUAGGACUGGAUGUAUCAGAUAGAUGAGGAUGCGACAGUGAUACUGCCGGAUUUUUCGACCGACCGGAAGUCCGACCUUGAUUUGGAAAUCGAUUGGAAUGCGGGAUGAAAAUUUUACGGUACUCCGUUGGAACGCCGUUUCUAAAAGCGGUGUCUCUUUGAAAUACGAAGCUACGUUGCGAAGAGGUAUGGACGCUCUGGAUGAAAAGCACUGGUCUCUCUACUUGCUUUGCUUUUGCCACACUGUUAUAGGCACUCGAAUUAAAGUUCUUUGUGGUGGUAUGAAGGAAGUGGGGCGGACAAAAAAAAAUAUAUUGUUUCUUUCUUAUUGUCAGAAUCAAAGAAAGUUGUGCCUGUUAUUCGGAUACUUCCUGUCGAUUCGAUCUCGGGGUUCGAGGGAAUCGGUGAGCAGAUUUUUUACGGGUCGAUUUUCGAGUGGGAAUUUUUUUUACGAAUUUGAAAAAUUUAUACGUCGCACGAAUGGGACGAAUACGAUUUUUUUAAAUUUCUGGUACUGACUCCUUAUGAAAUUUUUCUUAUCAAAGGUGACGUGUCACAGGGCUCCUUUCUUUUUUUUUCCACGAUGGCCACACUGCUUUAACGUUAAUUAGUAUCGUCUUAUCAUUUAACGAACGAAGCACAGCAACGAUUGUGAAUGAGGCUUGGUACGUAUAUCGAAAUCUCAAUGAGCAUUUUGUACCCGUUUCAAUGUAAUGCAACCCAUAAGGAAUUCCUUUGCGGACCUUUAAUUUAGAUGAAAAUUAAUUAAACGCGGCCAAUAAGCGCAAGAUAUAAAGAGCGCAGCCAAUGGCGAAUGGACCAACUCGAAAUAAAGAUUCCGCUUAAUUAGCGAUUAAAUCGUUAUCUUUACGAGUUGCUAAUUACUGGCUAUCUCCCGCCGAGAAUUACACGAGAAUGUAUACUUUUUCAUAAGCAAUAAAAUUUACUUUAAAUAGAACGACUUUUUUUUUUAAAUUAAAACAAAAAUUUUCUCGACUGCGAGGGAUAAGGGCAAGUGGCGCCACCGUCGGCUGAUUUUAUUUGCGACCAAUACUUGUCGCGAAAGGAAGAAAAAAAAAUUAAUUUAUAGCGAAGGAAAAUCUUGGUUGAGUAUGAUAACGCGGGAAAUACAAAUCCUUAUCUUUUCGGAUGGCGCGAGUGUUAUUGCCAGUGACGCGAUAAAGUUUAUUUUCAACGUAUGACGAGUAAGAACCACGGAAACGGAAAUGUAAAGGAAAAUCUAACGUUUACGCGUAAUGGCGCGUUUUUCGAAUCUCGAAAAGCAUGAAAAAAAAAAAUUAUCGUAACCACCGAAACCUUAACGAUAACGUACACAAUAUUCUUUACUGUAUAAAAUGUGUUUUCUCGUUCGUUCGUAUACUCGUAUAACGAUAUAACUAUACUUCAGUCAUACUGUACACUGAAAUGCAUUAUAUUUAGUCGGAAAAAUAUAUUAUACCAUAAAAUCAUUUAAACGUGCUUUCUUAACAGGAAUACCAACUCGUGUCUCUUUCCCUACAUUUCUUCUGGCACGCUU